UCGCUUUUUCAGGGAGUGGUUGGAGGUCCUCAGAGUGGCGGGGAACCCCGUGUGGGAAGCUCAGAAUUGCCCAGCAAUGGUGCCCAGUGCCCAGUGCCUUGAGGACCCUCUGGAGUCAGUCAUGGGGGGAGGCCGGGUGAUGCAUAUCCUGAGCAUUAGCUCAUGUGUGUAAAUGAAAUGAUCGCUUGGGGACCCUGGACCACCCAACAGCCCCUAGUGGAUUCUGAAAUACCUCCAGACUUGGCAGGAAAUUGCUGUUGCUUAAGGCCCAUCACCCCCUUUUUAUUCCACACCCCCUGGGUCUCUCAGUGGUCAGUUGCCCAAAGCCAAUUCUAAAGUUGAAUACUUGGAGGGACCAGAGGUGUUCAGGAUCAGGAUAGAUGGAAGCUGUCUUCUCUGUCCCUCCUCAAAACCUUGUGGUCCUUCGGUCUUAAUAGAGAGCAAACUUUUUUUUUUUUCUUCCAGUUUCACUAAAAAGGGAGCACCAAUACUGGGCACUAAACACCAUCUCUAAAACAACUCUGAUUUACUAAUGUUAACCAUUUCAUCAUUGUUACUCCCAGAGGAUCAUUUUGCGAGAUAAGCAUUUUGGAUGACAGUGGCUUGAACUUGUGAAUUACAAUUAUUUGCCUUCACAGGCAGGAAAUGUCUUCUUUAGCACUUUUGGGAAUGCCAGCCGAAUUUUCCUCUUAGUGAAAGUUUUGCUCCUCUUUCAAAAACACGAUAUUUCUCAUGUGAAUCAUGCCUCUGAACUUUAUGCCUUUAAGCUUAAUUACAUAAUGACAUUUGUCCUCAGAGUAUUCAAAUGUUUAGAAAUAUGUUGAAGAACAGGACAGGGCAGAGAAGGCCCCAAACAUGAGUAUCAAGCACUAAAUAUUUAUUAGAACCACAUAGUCACAAAGGCACUAUAACGACAGCUUAUGAAUAGGCUGAGUGGAUUCUUACAUAGUCAGGCAAUUUCUACUUGGGGGUGAUUUUAACUUUUCUGUGAAAGUAACUUGGAUACUUUAGGAAGUUCGUUUGGUAAUGCUUUUCAGAUAUUACCCUCGUGGAUUAGGAUGAAGUGCUAAGUUCCAGAACAAUGACUGUCUUGUCAGUCCAAGGAAGUCAUUUGUCCUGGAUGAAAGUAGUCCAAGUUGUUAUUUUCCUUUUACAGUAGAAGGCUAAAAUAUAUUAGCAGUCGUGCGUAGGUGGGCUAACUGCUACUUAAGUCUUUGAUUAUUCCGAAAAUACCGUUGUAUUUGUGCAUUUUUAACGAGAACUUUUCGCUGCGUUGGUGGAGGACGUGAUCACACCUGAUAACAUAAUUUUACAUUUCCCAAAAGCGGGGGAGACUUUCUCUGCCGGCCAGUGGGAAGUUACAGUUGAAAUUUAUCCUGGUGAUCACCUAAGGCCGCUUCCUCCAGGUACCAAAGAGGAGCUGAGAGCAGAGACCAGAGCGAUUGCCUGCGGUUAACAAGUCCACCGGUGGUCAGCUCUCCUGAAUCCUGAAAACUUGACUCCUUCAGUCGGUGCUCAAUCGACAGCACCUCUUAAAAUCUAUCCAGUUUCGCAAAUGUCUGUCGAGGGCUGGCUACCAAGUGCUGUGUGAAGUUCUCCGGAGACACAUAAACGUGAAUAAGCCAUGAUUGACGUUCAGAGAGGCUCACGGUUCACAGAGGAGCCAAUUGUACCAGGAGCUGCUUGGACUACAGGCUGGAAAAUGCAAAUAUGGAGGGAAAAAGGCAAGAGAGUAACUAACCCCUGCGGGCGCUCUGAGCUAUGUAUUUCCAGGACAGCUUCAGUCCAUAGGACUUGUGUAUCCUUAAUCAUUUUGGAAACAUGAAAUGAGACUGCCUGAAUGACGAUUUGAUUCUACAUCGCAGGAAGAACCCUACCUGUCAAUCACCAUCAACUCAACUGAGCCUCCCACAGUUGCUGAAACACUCCAGAAUCCCAGCAAGAUUGCUACAUCUGGGGUGGGGGGGACGCUUGGGUAGCUCAGUUGGUUAAUUUUGGCUCAGGUCAUGAUCUCUUGGUUGUGAGUUCAAGCCCCGCAUGGGAUUCUCUCUCUCUCUCCCUCUGUCUCUCUCUUUGCCCCUCCCCUGCGCAUGUUCUCUCUGUCUCUCUAAAUAAAGAAAUACAUAUAAAAAUAAAAGAUUGUUACCUCUGAUCGCUGAAAAUAGGAGCAGAUGAGCCUCAGGCAACAGAAGAGACGGGGAAGUAGAAACUGAUUGAUUUAUCUAGUUCAGGGAACUGUUCCUUGACCACAUUUUCCUGCAUUCUUCCCAAAAGCUAGACUUUUGCUUUUGUUUUUCUCCUUUCGGGAUCUUCUUCCAACCCAUCUACACCCUUUGCAGUCUAGGUAAGUGAUGAAACCAUGAUUCCCCUUGUCCUUCAGGAAUGGGGGACAUCACAUUUUUAGAGAACAGAUCUGGGUAGGAAAGGAUAAAGUUGUCACUCAGUAAGACUCAAACCUGUGUUUGAAAUCAUCCUGUCAAGGGGAGUCCUCACCAGAUCUGCCCACAAAGGUUAUCACGUCCUUGACGGCCCAUGUCAGCUGAAGCCCAGAUGAUUCAGGGGACUCUGUUGAGUGAUACCUGAAAGGUUUCUUUUUGACUCAUUACUUUAGAAUUAUUUACCAGUCAUUGGAUGUGAAUUACUGAACACACACUGACAUGUGAUUGUGUAAUCUCUAGCCUGGUUCUCUGCAUCUCGGAUCUUCAUUUAUUUCUGCCACUGCAUCGAUCAAGUUGUCAUCAUUUCAUUCCACCUGGUAGUGUAUGAGGUGGCGUCCUUUGAGGAAAGUUGGAUGAGGAAAACGGUGCAGAUUAAAACGGAAAAGACUGGAGGCACUUUCAGAGGGAAACUGUCAGUCGGGGACGGCACAGAGAAAGCCUCUCGGGUGUAUUCCACAGAUAAACUCUAUGGAACCUGCAGAAAAUUUAAAAAUGACUUAAAAAAAUUGCUGAUGGAGGGUUAAACAGCAGACGAUCCCGUGGCCUCUCUGUUAGCUCCCAGCCAAACAGAUUACCCUCCAAGAAAUGCACAACGAUGUCUUCAGACUA
This is a long non-coding RNA of Felis catus (domestic cat), 3047 nucleotides long. RefSeq lists it as uncharacterized. The record is from RefSeq and is a predicted model, not a curated record. The transcript has 2 exons. NCBI's taxonomy places the organism in Eukaryota, Metazoa, Chordata, Mammalia, Carnivora, Felidae.